GCGCUGUUUAGGAGUCCCACAAUAGGACGAAACGGCCGUCCAGUGC
This is a non-coding RNA of Schistosoma mattheei, 46 nucleotides long. Lineage: Eukaryota; Metazoa; Platyhelminthes; Trematoda; Strigeidida; Schistosomatidae. The record is from Rfam.